UUUGAUGGCGACCGGCGCACGGGUGAGUAACACGUAUCCAACCUGCCGAUGACUCGGGGAUAGCCUUUCGAAAGAAAGAUUAAUACCCGAUGGCAUAGUUCUUCCGCAUGGUAGAACUAUUAAAGAAUUUCGGUCAUCGAUGGGGAUGCGUUCCAUUAGUUUGUUGGCGGGGUAACGGCCCACCAAGACUACGAUGGAUAGGGGUUCUGAGAGGAAGGUCCCCCACAUUGGAACUGAGACACGGUCCAA
RNAcentral lists this ribosomal RNA (249 nucleotides) under uncultured bacterium. Its description in RNAcentral is "partial 16S ribosomal RNA". It matches the Rfam family "Bacterial small subunit ribosomal RNA", at positions 84 to 334 of the family's 1533-position model. The record is from RNAcentral.